This is an RNA transcript of Belonocnema kinseyi, 1406 nucleotides long. It is a transcript of the gene named ras-related protein Rab11A-like, with no coding region annotated. The record is from RefSeq and is a predicted model, not a curated record. Lineage: Eukaryota; Metazoa; Arthropoda; Insecta; Hymenoptera; Cynipidae. The transcript is spliced from 3 exons.
GAAAAACAUGUAUUGUUAAAAGGUAUAUCGAUAAAGCAUUCGAUCCCUUUUAUAGACAAACAAUAGGAGCAUGUUUUCUUUGGUGCAAAAUAGAUGUUGGGGAUAUUAAAAUCACAUUACAAAUUUGGGAUACAGCAGGCGAAGAAAGAUUCAAAUCAAUAAUGCCAAUGUAUCAUCGAGCUGCAAACGCAGUUUUAUUGAUCUUUGAUUUGACCAAAUAUGCGACUUUCACACACAUAAAAUCAGUCCUUCACGAAUUUAGACAGCACUCUAAUGAAAAUGUAGUUUUAGCUCUCAUUGGGAAUAAAAUCGACUUAAUCGAUCAAAGAGAAGUUUCAGAAGAUGAAGCACAAAAAUAUGCUGAAUUAAUUGGAGCUUCAUAUCACGAAACUUCAGCCUUGCAGGAUAUAGGGAUCGACGAAGUUUUUCAAACCGCGGCUGCUGGUUUAGUUCGAUUAAUAAAUGAAGGGAGAAGUACAAACAUGAAAGUCUAUGACUGCUCACGACCUGUUGAUAAAAGUCGUGACCAGGUGCUGAAGUUGUUAAAUGAACAAAAUCGCAACAAAAUCCAGAAAAGAGUGAAGUGCUCUUGUAAAUAGCUGUAUUUGCACAAUUUUCUUUUUUUCUAAUUUGUAUAUUUUACCCAAAUUUCAUGCUCAUUGUGAUUGAAAAAUGUUAUCAUUCGACUUAGGAACUGCUAGUAUUUUGUCAUUAAAAAUCAUAUGAAAUAGAAAACACUAUUUCAAAAGAAUAAGAUAAACAGUUUGAAAUAUUUUAAAUAACUUUCCAUUUUAAUUAUAUCUAGAGAGGCACAUAAUUGGUUAAAAUUACUGAAAAUAUAUUUCCAAUCUAGCGGUUUCGUACGAUAACAGUAAAAGAAAUUAGUAUUUUUUUGCAGCAAGUAUCGUAAAUGAUACUUGUACACUAAAAUGUUUUGUAUUCUAGGAUAUUGAUUGGUAUUUCUUAAUAUAGGAAACAAAUGUAACAACAGGAGCAAAAUUUACGAAGGGCCUAAGAUUCUGUGUAAUCCGGAUUUCAAAGUGUACAGUCCAAAACGAAAAAUUGGGCAGCAGAAAGUCGACUUAUUUUCUCACAAUGAGCUGAAUUUACAGUCUCUGAGUAGUUAACACAGUACCUAUUAUCAUUAAAAAAAGCUCGUUCAGGGCUAACGUUACAGAAAAUUCCGUAAUACUAGCCGUAAUGCUUUACUUGACCGGUUACUUUUACGGAAAAUCCCGUGAUACUUAAUUAUUGAUUAAUUAAACGACACGUAUUUUAUCAGAUUAAAAGUAAGUUUUUCACGAACUUAUUAUUUCUUAAAUCCUAAAUCUGUUAAUUAGUAUGGAAAAAUUGCAAUAUUAUUUUUGAUUGUAUUGUUAAGAGAGAAAAGAUUAUUUUUUAUGAAA